RNAcentral lists this ribosomal RNA (442 nucleotides) under uncultured Glomus. RNAcentral's name for it is "SSU rRNA". It matches the Rfam family "Eukaryotic small subunit ribosomal RNA", at positions 569 to 1017 of the family's 1831-position model. The record is from RNAcentral. Lineage: Eukaryota; Fungi; Glomeromycota; Glomeromycetes; Glomerales; Glomeraceae.
AGCAGCCGCGGUAAUUCCAGCUUCAAUAGCGUAUAUUAAAGUUGUUGCAGUUAAAAAGCUCGUAGUUGAAUUUCGGGAUUAAUAGGUUGGUCAUGCCCUCGGUAUGUACUGAUUUCAUUGGUUCUCACCUUCUAAGGAAUCAUAAUGUCAUUCGUUUGAUGUUGUGGGGAAUUAGGACUGUUACCUUGAAAAAAUUAGAGUGUUUAAAGCAGGCUAACGCUUGGAUACAUUAGCAUGGAAUAAUGAAAUAGGACAUCCGAUUCUAUUUUGUGGUUUCUAGGAUCGAUGUAAUGAUUAAUAGGGAUAGUUGGGGGCAUUAGUAUUCAAUUGUCAGAGGUGAAAUUCUUGGAUUUAUUGAAGACUAACUAUUGCGAAAGCAUUUGCCAAGGAUGUUUUCAUUAAUCAGGAACGAAGUUAGGGGAUCGAAGACGAUCAGAUACCG